This is a long non-coding RNA of Aethina tumida (small hive beetle), 667 nucleotides long. RefSeq lists it as uncharacterized. The record is from RefSeq and is a predicted model, not a curated record. The transcript has 4 exons. NCBI's taxonomy places the organism in Eukaryota, Metazoa, Arthropoda, Insecta, Coleoptera, Nitidulidae.
UUUCCGUUUCAUAUAGAAAUGAAAUUGAUAUAUGAAAUAUAUAUAUUAUUGGUUACAAAAGUGCUUUUUGUACUCUGUCUGACAGAGAUUUCAUAUCCCAAUUUUCUUUUUGUAGAAUUAACAAAAAGGUUUUGUGAUCUGGGUGCAAUUUUCACAGUAAUAUUUGUUAGUUCUAUAAUAUUAACUCUAUUUUUGGUGCGUAACACGAGUGUGUCAGUGAUGCCAUGUAUUUUUUUAAUAACCUUUAGUUUGGCCAUGGUGUUGAAAGAGAACAAAUUUUUUUAUUUGAUACAGAAAAGGCUUAUAUCUAACAACCCCAGUUUUUUAUUGUAUAUUUAUCUUCCAACCAUUUAUUUUAAGAGGAUUUUGUAUAUGCCACUUCAAGGAGCGAAAUUAUGUUGUUUGCAUGCUUUCAUCCUCACAGCAUUUAAUAUUGUUUCUGAUGGAUUCGCAAUUUACAUUUGGUGGUGGUUAAUGGGAUUUCCUAAUCUUUCUCCGGAUAUGGGUCAGACAGACUGUUAGAUUCUUAUUAAGGACGUCCUAGAAGAGAGAGAUUGAUAUUAAAGACAAUAGGGAGGCACAGAUAUAUUGAUGGACGAGUUAUCUUUUUCUAAUUAAAUGAUUUGUACUUAUAAAAAUAUCAAAUAGAGGUCUGGUCAUAUAACUU